AUUGAACGCUGGCGGCAGGCCUAACACAUGCAAGUCGAGCGGAUGAAGGGAGCUUGCUCCUGGAUUCAGCGGCGGACGGGUGAGUAAUGCCUAGGAAUCUGCCUGGUAGUGGGGGAUAACGUCCGGAAACGGGCGAAAAUACCGCAUACGCCCUGAGGGAGAGAGUGGGGGAUCUUGGGAUCUCACGCUAUCAGAUGAGUCUAGGUCGGAUUAUCUAGUUGGUGGGGUAAGGGCCUACCAAGGCGACGAUCCGUAACUGGUCUGAGAGGAUGAUCAGUCACACUGGAACUGAGACACGGUCCAGACUCCGACGGGAGGCAGCAGGGGGGAAUAUUGGACAAUGGGCGAAAGCCUGAUCCAGCCAUGCCGCGGGUGUGAAGAAGGUCUUCGGAUUGUAAAGCACUUAAAGUUGGGAGGAAGGGCAGUAAGUUAAUACCUUGCUGUUUGACGUUACCAACAGAAUAAGCACCGGCUAACUUCGUG
Molecule: ribosomal RNA, 483 nt
Filed under: uncultured bacterium
Lineage: Bacteria
Description: partial 16S ribosomal RNA
Rfam family: Bacterial small subunit ribosomal RNA
Source: RNAcentral